AAGGAUCAUUAAUGAAAUGUUUGUCGAGAAGGGUUGUAGCUGGCCUCCAGGGGCAUGUGCACACCCUGAUCGCAUCCACCUCCCACACCUGUGCACUGCCUGUAGCUUGGGAUGAUCACGGAGCCCUGAUGGGGUGACGAAUGCCCUUGUCUAUGAAUAUUUUCACACACGCUCAAAAUAUGACAGAAUGUACAUCAUAUCGCGUCUGAUAAACGUGACAAAUACAACUUUCAACAACGGAUCUCUUGGCUCUCGCAUCGAUGAAGAACGCAGCGAAAUGCGAUAAGUAAUGUGAAUUGCAGAAUUCAGUGAAUCAUCGAAUCUUUGAACGCACCUUGCGCUCCUUGGUAUUCCGAGGAGCAUGCCUGUUUGAGUGUCAUGAAAUUCUCAACUGCCCCCAGGUUUUGUGGCCUGCGGGUGAAGUUGGACUUUGGAGGCAUUGCUGGCGCACAUGAAUGGGCUUUGUGCCCUACUGUGCUUGUCGGCUCCUCUUGAAUGUAUGAGCUUUCCAAUCCUUGGCAAAGUAUCGUCGAUGUGAUAAUUAUCUGCGUCGCCUGAGAAAGCCUAAAAGGGGAAAUCUUCGAUCACGUUGGGUUGACCCACGUCUGACAAAUUCGACCUCAAAUCAGGUAGGACUACCCGCUGAACUUAA
RNAcentral lists this ribosomal RNA (652 nucleotides) under uncultured fungus. Its description in RNAcentral is "eukaryotic LSU rRNA". The stretch from base 226 to 379 matches the Rfam family "5.8S ribosomal RNA". The record is from RNAcentral. Lineage: Eukaryota; Fungi.